AACGAACGCUGGCGGCGUGGAUUAGGCAUGCAAGUCGAACGCGAAAGAGGGAGCAAUCCCUCAAGUAGAGUGGCGAACGGGUGAGUAACGCGUGAAGAACCUGCCUUCAACAGGGGGAUAACACUCCCAACGGGGUGCUAAUACCGCAUGAGACCACGGGUCCGCAUGGACCUGAGGUCAAAGGUGGCCUCUGCUUGCAAGCUACCGGUUGAAGAUGGCUUCGCGUCCCAUAGCUAGUUGGCGGUGUAAAAGACCACCAAGGCGACGAUGGGUAGCUGGUCUGAGAGGAUGGUCAGCCACACUGGGACUGAGAUACGGCCCAGACUCCUACGGGAGCAGCAGUCGAGAGGCUUUGGCAAGUGGGGAAACCCUGACCAAGCGACGCCGCGUGGAGGAU
Molecule: ribosomal RNA, 397 nt
Filed under: uncultured bacterium
Lineage: Bacteria
Description: bacterial SSU rRNA
Rfam family: Bacterial small subunit ribosomal RNA
Source: RNAcentral